This 677-nucleotide ribosomal RNA is filed under the name fungal sp. I12F-02276. Its description in RNAcentral is "eukaryotic LSU rRNA". It matches the Rfam family "Eukaryotic large subunit ribosomal RNA", at positions 37 to 627 of the family's 3401-position model. Lineage: Eukaryota; Fungi. The record is from RNAcentral.
UGCAUAUCAAAAAAGCGGAGGAAAAGAAAAUAACUAUGAUGCUCUCAGUAACGGCGAGUGAAGCGAGCAAAGCUCAAGCGUAAAAUCGAUCUGUCGUCGGAUAGUAUCGAAUUGUCGAGUGUCAACGUGAUGUCAGCAUAACCAAAUGCAGUAAGUUUUUUGAAACAAAACAUGAUACAGGGUGAGAAUCCCGUAUGUCUGCUGUUUGAUUGUUAUGUGUACGACUCAUGUUUAUCGAGUCGAGUUGUUUGGGAUUGCAGCUCUAAUUCGGUGGUAAGUUUCAUCGAAAGCUAAAUAUAGGCGAGAGACCGAUAGCGAACAAGUACCGUGAGGGAAAGAUGAAAAGAACUUUGAAAAGAGAGUGAAAAAGUACUUGAAAGGGUAUAGAGGGAAGCGAGCCACACUAGUCGAAAAGGAAGAAAUUCUUAUCUAUAUUUUAUUUUCAUGUUGUUUAUUUUUUAAAUAUUCAAUAUUUUAUUUUAAUUUAUCAUAAGUUCAUUUUUUCUUUGAGGUCAGCUUGCUUUAUUUGAAUUCAUAAACAUAAAUAAAAAGGUAAAAUAAAUUUUCGAAUUUAUUUGUUAUAGUUUAUUUUAUUGUCAAGAAUGUCAAAUGAAGGAGGCGUUGUAAGAUGAGCCAUUUUGGCAUUUUAUUUUUAUAAAAUAUCAUUCUUUAUCUGA